UACUUCACAGAGCAUGGAAUAGAUGGUGUGUGCCUGCUAGGAUGGACCAGGUAUCACUGUAGGUAAUAAACAGCCCCCCAAAAUGGAAAUUUACAGCACUGAAGGCUCUUUGUCUGCUCAUGCUGCACGUCCUCCAUGGCUCUCCUGGGCCCUGUCCUCCACAUCUCUUCAUCUGCCACCAAAAUAAAGGAGCAGCCUCUACAUGGCACCUAUCAACGGCUCUAAGAGAUGAAGGACAGGGUGGCCAGUCUCAAUGACUUCCAACUCUUUUGCCUCGAGGUGACACACUUCACUUCCACUCACAUCUCCUGAGUCAAAGCAAAUCCCAUAACUACCUCCACCUUCACGGGGCCCAGAGGGCCUAAUAGAGUCCAGCUGAAGUACUCAGUGGAGUCCAUUAGGGCCACCAUACGGUGUCAGCCUGUGCCGGGGCCUGUGGAGGGCAGAGGAGAGUGGGGAAUUGAUGGGAAAUGACAGCAGGACUGAGUCACUGUGCAUUUGCUUUAUCCUCAACCAGGUGGAGCUUGUCCCAGAGCGGCACAAAAUCAGCAGCAGCAUGAUCAAACAGGGUAAACUUCAGAAAAAGCAGUUUGUUGAGUUGUGAUCAGCAGUGAACUGAGAAUCAGCUGAGUGGCACUGAGUCUCGGUCCGGCUGAACAGAUCUGACUCCGACAUCCCCACAGACCCACAGUUCCUCCAUAUUCCGGGCAUGGACGUUGCUCCCUCGGGGGAUGACGCUGACUCGCCUGCCAAGGGUUGUCUGUGAGCAGCCGGCCUGCUGGGCGACGGGCCGAAGGAAGGCAGGAUGCGGGCCGGGGGAGGGAGCCCACACACGCAGCGUCGCGCUUGGCCAGACAGCCCCUGCAGAACCAAGGACAGAUGGCAGGGGGUUUGCAAUCCAUCAUUUGGAAGUGAUUGUCCAGGUGCAGGCAGCUGCCAAGCACUAGAGUGUACAGCCUUGCUGGGUCCCUAUCUGUGCAAAUGUCCGGCUGGGAGCUGGUUCUGCUGGAGGUCGACGCCAGCCAGGACACUCGGAGAAGCAGCCGGGGCUGGGGUGUGA
RNAcentral lists this long non-coding RNA (1060 nucleotides) under Saimiri boliviensis boliviensis (Bolivian squirrel monkey). RNAcentral describes it as "lncRNA (ENSSBOG00000036530.1)". Lineage: Eukaryota; Metazoa; Chordata; Mammalia; Primates; Cebidae. The record is from RNAcentral.